AACGCACAUUGCGCCCUUUGGUAUUCCGAAGGGCAUGCCUGUUCGAGCGUCAUUAUCAACCAUCAAGCCUGGCUUGUCGUUGGAUCCCUUUGUCGCCUGGCGACAGAUCCAAAAGAUAAUGACCGGCGUCGUGGUGACCCUAUAUGCAACGAGCUUGUAAGAGCACGCACUUAGUGGUCGUCCGGCUCGGUUGUCACCCUUUAUUUUUUCAAGGUUGACCUCGGAUCAGGUAGGAAUACCCGCUGAACUUAA
Molecule: unclassified non-coding RNA, 252 nt
Filed under: Tomentella sp.
Lineage: Eukaryota; Fungi; Basidiomycota; Agaricomycetes; Thelephorales; Thelephoraceae
Description: partial contains 5.8S ribosomal RNA, internal transcribed spacer 2, and large subunit ribosomal RNA
Rfam family: 5.8S ribosomal RNA (bases 1-52)
Source: RNAcentral